Long non-coding RNA from Vombatus ursinus (common wombat), 295 nucleotides. RefSeq lists it as uncharacterized. NCBI's taxonomy places the organism in Eukaryota, Metazoa, Chordata, Mammalia, Diprotodontia, Vombatidae. The transcript is spliced from 3 exons. The record is from RefSeq and is a predicted model, not a curated record.
AUAAUGCUCCUCACAGAGUUCAGCUCCAUUUGUAUUUCAUCCAAAUGAAAGAAGAAAAUCGGGUAGGGGUGAAAUCUACGAAGUGAAGCAUAAAUAAGGUGGUGUCAGUGAAAGCAGCGCAUAUUCCAGUUCAACCGAGUACCACAAAUCACAUCAUGGAAGGAGGCAGAAGAGUCCAAUGGAGGGGCACUCGGUUUGGAGGUCCUCUUCCAAAGCCAAGAGGCUUGAUGGAGAUUGUCAAAGAACUCUGCAGGCUUGAUCCAUUACAAAUUCAUGCUUCCCAUCCUCAACUGGC